RNAcentral lists this ribosomal RNA (497 nucleotides) under uncultured bacterium. RNAcentral describes it as "partial 16S ribosomal RNA". It matches the Rfam family "Bacterial small subunit ribosomal RNA", at positions 28 to 507 of the family's 1533-position model. The record is from RNAcentral.
GACGAACGCUGGCGGCGUGCCUAAUACAUGCAAGUUGAGCGCUGAAGGUUGGUACUUGUACCGACUGGAUGAGCAGCGAACGGGUGAGUAACGCGUGGGGAGUCUGCCUUUGAGCGGGGGACAACAUUUGGAAACGAAUGCUAAUACCGCAUAAAAACUUUAAACACAAGUUUUAAGUUUGAAAGAUGCAAUUGCAUCACUCAAAGAUGAUCCCGCGUUGUAUUAGCUAGUUGGUGAGGUAAAGGCUCACCAAGGCGAUGAUACAUAGCCGACCUGAGAGGGUGAUCGGCCACAUUGGGACUGAGACACGGCCCAAACUCCUACGGGGGGCAGCAGGAGGGAAUCUUCGGAAAUGGACGAAAGUCUGACCGAGCAACGCCGCGUGAGGGAAGAAGGUUUUCGGAUCGUAAAACUCUGUUGGUAGAGAAGAACGUUGGUGAGAGUGGAAAGCUCAUCAAGUGACGGUAACUACCCAGAAAGGGACGGCUAACUACGUG